GACGAACGCUGGCGGCGCGCUUAAUACAUGCAAGUCGAGCGAUGAAACUUUAACAGUACUUUUCGGGUCGAAGCUACAGAGGGUUAGCGGCGGACGGGUGAGUCACACGUUAGUAAUCUGCCUUCGACAUUGGGAUAGCGCUGGGAAACCGGGAUUAAUUCCAACUCAAAUUAUAAUGACACAUGUCAUAACGACUAACACUCCGGUGGUCUAAGAUGUACGCGCGUCUCAUUAGUUAGUUGGCAGAGUAACAGCCUAACAAGGCGACGCUGGCCAGCCGGCCUGAGAGGGUGAGUGGCCACAUUGGAACGGAGCAGCAGUCCAAACUCCUACGGGAGGCAGCAGUGGGGAAUAGUGCACAGUGGAGUGAGCUCUGAUGCAGCGACGCCGGGAGAACGAAGUUAGCAGGCGAGACGUAAAGUGCAAUUAUAUGGGAAGAUAAUGACGGUACCAUAAGAGAAAGCCCCGGCUAACUACGUG
This 480-nucleotide ribosomal RNA is filed under the name uncultured bacterium. RNAcentral's name for it is "partial 16S ribosomal RNA". It matches the Rfam family "Bacterial small subunit ribosomal RNA", at positions 28 to 507 of the family's 1533-position model. The record is from RNAcentral.